This 745-nucleotide ribosomal RNA is filed under the name uncultured Chlamydia sp. Its description in RNAcentral is "bacterial SSU rRNA". It matches the Rfam family "Bacterial small subunit ribosomal RNA", at positions 54 to 780 of the family's 1533-position model. The record is from RNAcentral. Lineage: Bacteria; Pseudomonadati; Chlamydiota; Chlamydiia; Chlamydiales; Chlamydiaceae.
CAUGCAAGUCGAACGGAAUAAUGACUUCGGUUGUUAUUUAGUGGCGGAAGGGUUAGUAAUACAUAGAUAAUCUGUCCUCAACUUGGGAAUAACGGUUGGAAACGACCGCUAAUACCGAAUGUAGUAUGUUUAGGCAUCUAAAACAUAUUAAAGAAGGGGAUCUUCGGACCUUUCGGUUAAGGGAGAGUCUAUGGGAUAUCAGCUUGUUGGUGGGGUAAUGGCCUACCAAGGCUUUGACGUCUAGGCGGAUUGAGAGAUUGACCGCCAACACUGGGACUGAGACACUGCCCAGACUUCUACGGAAGGCUGCAGUCGAGAAUCUUUCGCAAUGGACGAAAGUCUGACGAAGCGACGCCGCGUGUGUGAUGAAGGCUCUAGGGUUGUAAAGCACUUUCGCUUGGGAAUAAGAGAGAUUGGCUAAUAUCCAAUCGAUUUGAGCGUACCAGGUAAAGAAGCACCGGCUAACUCCGUGCCAGCAGCUGCGGUAAUACGGAGGGUGCUAGCGUUAAUCGGAUUUAUUGGGCGUAAAGGGCGUGUAGGCGGAAAGGAAAGUUAGAUGUUAAAUCUUGGGGCUCAACCCCAAGCCAGCAUCUAAUACUAUCUUUCUAGAGGGUAGAUGGAGAAAAGGGAAUUCCACGUGUAGCGGUGAAAUGCGUAGAUAUGUGGAAGAACACCAGUGGCGAAGGCGCUUUUCUAAUUUACACCUGACGCUAAGGCGCGAAAGCAAGGGGAGCAAACAGGAUUA